UACGUAGGGGGCCAGCGUUGCUCGGAAUUACUGGGCGUAAAGGGUUCGUAGGUGGUGCGGCAAGUUGGGAGUGAAAUCUCUGGGCUUAACCCAGAGGCUGCUUUCAAAACUGCCGCGCUCGAGUGCGAGAGAGGUCAGUGGAAUUGCAGGUGUAGCGGUGAAAUGCGUAGAUAUAGGAAGGAAUACCAGUGGCGAAGGCGGCCUCCUGGAUCGAUACUGACGCUGAGGCGCGAAAGCGUGGGGAGCAGACAGG
This 253-nucleotide ribosomal RNA is filed under the name uncultured bacterium. Its description in RNAcentral is "partial 16S ribosomal RNA". It matches the Rfam family "Bacterial small subunit ribosomal RNA", at positions 524 to 776 of the family's 1533-position model. The record is from RNAcentral.